ACCCGCACAAGCAGCGGAGCAUGUGGUUUAAUUCGAAGCAACGCGAAGAACCUUUACCAGAUCUUGACAUCCAAUUGACCAUCUUUUAAUCGAGAUUUUGCCUUCGGGUACAAUUGAGACAGGUGGUGCAUGGUUGUCGUCAGCUCGUGUCGUGAGAUGUUGGGUUAAGUCCCGCAACGAGCGCAACCCUUGUGUUUAGUUGCAAACAGGUCAAGCUGUGCACUCUAGACAGACUGCCGUGGACAACACGGAGGAAGGUGGGGAUGACGUCAAAUCAUCAUGCCCCUUAUGAUCUGGGCUACACACGUGCUACAAUGGCCGGUACAACGGGCAGCGAAGGAGCGAUCCGGAGCGAAUCCUAAAAAGCCGGUCCCAGUUCGGAUUGCAGGCUGAAACUCGCCUACAUGAAGUUGGAGUUGCUAGUAAUCGCGAAUCAGAAUGUCGCGGUGAAUGCGUUCCCGGGUCUU
Molecule: ribosomal RNA, 467 nt
Filed under: uncultured Fusibacter sp.
Lineage: Bacteria; Bacillati; Bacillota; Clostridia; Eubacteriales; Fusibacteraceae
Description: bacterial SSU rRNA
Rfam family: Bacterial small subunit ribosomal RNA
Source: RNAcentral